ACAGAGUAGAGGAUCGUUGGACUUCCAC
Molecule: small RNA, 28 nt
Filed under: Bombyx mori (domestic silkworm)
Lineage: Eukaryota; Metazoa; Arthropoda; Insecta; Lepidoptera; Bombycidae
Description: ovarian small RNA-11087
Source: RNAcentral